This 91-nucleotide ribosomal RNA is filed under the name Streptomyces sedi. The record is from RNAcentral. Lineage: Bacteria; Bacillati; Actinomycetota; Actinomycetes; Kitasatosporales; Streptomycetaceae.
GCCCGGUUACAUUCCGAACCCGGAAGCUAAGCUCUUCAGCGCCGAUGGUACUGCAUGGGGGACCGUGUGGGAGAGUAGGACGCCGCCGGAC